GUGACCCCAGGAUGGGAGGGAU
This 22-nucleotide ribosomal RNA is filed under the name Prasophyllum drummondii. Its description in RNAcentral is "partial 26S ribosomal RNA". The record is from RNAcentral. Lineage: Eukaryota; Viridiplantae; Streptophyta; Magnoliopsida; Asparagales; Orchidaceae.